AACGAACGCUGGCGGCAUGCCUAACACAUGCAAGUCGAACGAGACCUUCGGGUCUAGUGGCUCACGGGUGCGUAACGCGUGGGAACCUGCCCUUAGGUUAGGAAUAACUCCCCGGAAGGGGUGCUAAUACCGGAUAAUGUCUUCGGACCAAAGAUUUAUCGCCUUUGGAUGGGCCCGCGUUGGAUUAGCUAGUUGGUAGGCUAAAAGCCUACCAAGGCGACGAUCCAUAGCUGGUCUGAGAGGAUGAUCAGCCACACUGGGACUGAGACACGGCCCAGACUCCUACGGGAGGCAGCAGUGGGGAAUAUUGGACAAUGGGCGAAAGACUGAGCCAUCAAUGCCGCGUGAGUGAUGAAGGCCUUAGGGUUGUAAAGCUCUUUUACCCGGGAUGAUAAUGACAGUACCGUGAGAAUAAGCUCCGGCUAACUCCGUG
Molecule: ribosomal RNA, 433 nt
Filed under: uncultured bacterium
Lineage: Bacteria
Description: partial 16S ribosomal RNA
Rfam family: Bacterial small subunit ribosomal RNA
Source: RNAcentral